This 251-nucleotide ribosomal RNA is filed under the name uncultured bacterium. RNAcentral describes it as "partial 16S ribosomal RNA". It matches the Rfam family "Bacterial small subunit ribosomal RNA", at positions 524 to 776 of the family's 1533-position model. The record is from RNAcentral.
UACAGAGGUCUCAAGCGUUGUUCGGAUUCAUUGGCGUAAAGGGUGCGUAGGCGGCGCGGUAAGUCGGGUGUGAAAUCUCGGAGCUUAACUCCGAAACUGCAUUCGAUACUGCGUGCUUGAGGACUGGAGAGGAGACUGGAAUUCAUGGUGUAGCAGUGAAAUGCGUAGAGAUCAUGAGGAAGACCAGUGGCGAAGGCGGGUCUCUGGACAGUUCCUGACACUGAGACACGAAGGCCAGGGGAGCAAACGGG